GUGACGGGCCGCACAAGCGGAGGAACAUGUGGUUUAAUUCGAUGAUACGCGAGGAACCGUUACCUAGGGCUUAAAUGUAGAGUGCAUUUCUAGAGAUAGGAAUUCCCUUCGGGGCAGAGAGACAGGUGGUGCAUGGUUGUCGUCAGCUCGUGUCGUGAGAUGUUGGGUUAAGUCCCGCAACGAGCGCAACCCUUAUUGCCAGUUACCAUCAUUAAGUUGGGGACUCUGGCGAGACUGCCGUGGAUAACACGGAGGAAGGUGGGAUGACGUCAAAUCAUCAUGCCCCUUAUGUCCUGGGCUACACACGUACUACAAUGGCAACAACAAAAAGCAGCAAAACCGCGAGGUCAAGCGAAUCUCCAAAUGUUGUCUCAGUUCGGAUUGCAGGCUGCAACUCGCCUGCAUGAAGUCGGAAUUGCUAGUAAUGGCAGGUCAGCAUACUGCCGUGAAUACGUUCCCGGGCCUU
Molecule: ribosomal RNA, 466 nt
Filed under: uncultured Fastidiosipila sp.
Lineage: Bacteria; Bacillati; Bacillota; Clostridia; Eubacteriales; Oscillospiraceae
Description: bacterial SSU rRNA
Rfam family: Bacterial small subunit ribosomal RNA
Source: RNAcentral